AAGCCUGCUUCAAGAUGAGAUUUCCCCUGAGGUGUCCAGUAGACGACUGGGUUGAUAGGCCAGAUGUGGAAGCACAGCAAUGUGCGCAGCUGACUGGUACUAAUACACCAAUCACUCACCCAACAA
Molecule: ribosomal RNA, 126 nt
Filed under: Brevibacterium ravenspurgense
Lineage: Bacteria; Bacillati; Actinomycetota; Actinomycetes; Micrococcales; Brevibacteriaceae
Description: partial 23S ribosomal RNA
Rfam family: Bacterial large subunit ribosomal RNA
Source: RNAcentral